This is an RNA transcript of Mangifera indica (mango), 2184 nucleotides long. It is a transcript of the gene named tobamovirus multiplication protein 1-like, with no coding region annotated. Lineage: Eukaryota; Viridiplantae; Streptophyta; Magnoliopsida; Sapindales; Anacardiaceae. The transcript has 13 exons. The record is from RefSeq and is a predicted model, not a curated record.
AAUUAGCAUGAGUAUUAAGGGCCAUGUGACAAAAUUAAGGAAUAGGUCAAAUGGGGAUCACGGAAUCAACCUCCUAACUUUCUCAACCCACGCGCCCUGGCGUCGCACGUAUUUGUUUAUUGCUUUACAGUCGGUCAUUGUUUACAAUUUCAAAAUAUAAAGUUUUCUUUUUUCGUUUCUUGACUCGUUUAAAAAACCUUCCGACUCCGUCUCAUCAAUAAUCCCAACACAGGAAAGAAAAUCAAUAAGAGAUCCUGCAUGAAAAUUGAAGGAUACCCUGAAAAAGGAUUUUCCUUUCUUUUCGGGCCUUCCUGUUUGUUAGUUUUCAGACCCAUAGACUUUUUCAGCUCACAUUAAAUUCUUUCAGAAAGCGUUCAACUUGUAUUACCUCGCUUUCCGUAUACAUAUAUACAGUUAUACAUAUAUAUUAUAUAGAUUAUUGGAAGAGAUAAAAUGCUUGAAAUAAGAGAAGGGUCCUGUCUUCCUAGAGUGUUGGUGGGUGUGAAUGUGGGUCUUGUUUGUGUUGGCAGCAUUAUUGCUAUUCUUGCUUUUUCACAGCUAAUAAGGAUUCAUCUGAGGAAUUCACAACUUGGCUGGACGAGACAAAAAGUCCUUCAUCUAUUGAUUGGCUCUUCAAAUGUUGGUUACUUCCUUUUCUUUGUUUUAACUCUUGUUGCUGCCUGCUACGAUUGGCCUUGCUGGUCAUACUCUUGUGGGUUUAUUGCUAUGGCCAUCCCCAGAAUUCUCCUGUUUUCAGCUUUUCUUCUGCUUCUUUCAUUCUGGAUCGACCUUUGCCAUCAAGCAGAUGAUGAAGAAGAAGAUGAUGAUGAUGAAUAUGGUUUUCUGCAAGCUUUGUUGAAGAGAUCGUUAUUUCAACCCAGUUCAUCAAGUGCAGAUAAUCAGAGAAUAUGUUUUCCUUUUCAAUCAAUUCAUGUCGGAAGCCGUCAAAAGAUUGUGAUUUUGGUUACUGUUCUAAUAUUUCUAGUAAUGAUUACAUUUGCUGUGGUAAUCUGGAUUGGGAUGGGAAAUGAUGCUAUCAAAUCAUCAGUGGUGGCCCAGGUGUAUGUAGCUCUUUUUGCGAUAGCAAAACUAUUACUAGGAGGAGCAUUAGCAUAUUAUGGACUCUUGUUAUGCUUAAAAAUAAGGACAGUUAGAUCUGAGAGAGCUUCUUCUGAAACGUGGAAGAUUGCAGGAUUGGCUGUUGUCUCUGUUUUAUGUUUUACACCAAGUGCAAUCAUAGCCCUUUCUACAACAAUUCCGAUCUUGAUUGCAGGCUGUAUAUCAUUGGCAAGAUUUGCAAAUAAAUGGUGUUUACACUACUGUUUUACUGAUCGUAUAUUACUUUGUAGGAUGGUAAUUAAACCACAGUGCUGUCAAAACUCAUUUGCAUUUUAUGGUCCUAGGUUCUUCAGUACCCUCGGCUUUUGUAUUAUGGGUUAUGAGAGAGUUACCGGCUUUAGCGGUAAAUAUUAGGGAAGAUGAAUCAAGAACGAUAGCUUUCAUCCAUGAUAGUUCAGCAGCAGCAAUACAUCAACCUGGGCACUGGACAACUGGAACAAGUACACAGAGUGAGAUUUUGAGUGUGAGUCCUGUAUAAGUUGGCAUUUACAAACCGAAACUCCAUGCUCUUCCUACAAGAUACAUGCUUGAUCUGAAUUGCUGAACAAGUCUUGACAGAAAAAGAGUUGGAACUGGACAGUUAGUCGAGUUCAAAUAAAGCUGGCCAGUUCAUACUUGAUAGGUAACUCAGAGAACAUCCUUAAGGUUGCCAUCACCGCCUUUUGAUACCUUGACUUGUAAAUAACAGCUAAAUGAGCUAAAAUCUUUCGCUUUGACAUUAUGAUUCUUACUUAUACUGCAUUUGGGUGCCAACUGGUUUAAUGCUGGAGUCAGCUGCAGCCCCCAUAACCAUAAAUGAUGAUAUAUCUUCCACAUUUUACCAAGUUACUGUUUUCACAAUCUGUUUCCUCUGGAAGAAUUCGUUCUACAGUGGGGGAUGCCUGGCAGCUAAUUUGCAGAACUCCCGGGUGACUUAUAAGAGCUUUGGUCUCUUAAAUGUUUUGCUUCAAUAUAUGUUUGUAUAACUGUAAGCACUAGCUUCAGAUUAUUUGUUCUAUAAUUUGGGGAAAAAGAGCUUUACUAUGUACACUAUCAAAUAAAGCAAAGCAGGUAACAUUGAUAUCA